This 460-nucleotide ribosomal RNA is filed under the name uncultured bacterium. RNAcentral's name for it is "partial 16S ribosomal RNA". It matches the Rfam family "Bacterial small subunit ribosomal RNA", at positions 338 to 795 of the family's 1533-position model. The record is from RNAcentral.
CCUACGGGAGGCAGCAGUGAGGAAUAUUGGUCAAUGGCCGGAAGGCUGAACCAGCCAUGCCGCGUGAAGGUCAGUGCCCUAUGGGCGUUAAACUUCUUUUGUGCGGGAGCAAUAAUGGUCACGUGUGGCCAGACGAGAGUACCGUACGAAUAAGCAUCGGUUAACCUCGUGCCAGCAGCCGCGGUAAUUCGGGGGAUGCAAGCGUUGUCCGGAUUUUUUGGGUUUAAAGGGUGCGUAGGCUGUGAGGUAAGUCAGCGGUGAAAUGCCCCCGGUCAACGGGGUGAAGUGCCAUUGAUACUGGCUUGCUGGAGUGCGGAUGCCGUAGGAGGAAUGUGUGGUGUAGCGGUGAAAUGCAUAGAUAUCACACAGAACACCGAUUGCGAAGGCAUCUCACGAAUCCGCGAUUGACGCUGAUGCACGAAAGCGUGGGUAUCAAACAGGAUUAGAUACCCUGGUAGUC